UGGGGAAUAUUGCGCAAUGGACGAAAGUCUGACGCAGCAACGCCGCGUGAGUGAAGAAGGCCUUCGGGUUGUAAAGCUCUGUCAGCAGGGACGAAAAAACAUGAGACAGCUCAUGUCUUGACGGUACCUGCGGAGGAAGCACCGGCUAACUCUGUGCCAGCAGCCGCGGUAAUACAGAGGGUGCAAGCGUUGCUCGGAAUUAUUGGGCGUAAAGGGGAGGUAGGUGGUCUUGUUUGUCUGAGGUGAAAGCCCCGAGCUUAACUUGGGAAGUGCCUCGGAAACGGCAAGACUAGAGUUCUGGAGAGGGUCGCGGAAUUCCCGGUGUAGCGGUGAAAUGCGUAGAUAUCGGGAGGAACAUCAGAGGCGAAAGCGGCGGCCUGGACAGAUACUGACACUCAAC
RNAcentral lists this ribosomal RNA (400 nucleotides) under uncultured bacterium. Its description in RNAcentral is "bacterial SSU rRNA". It matches the Rfam family "Bacterial small subunit ribosomal RNA", at positions 355 to 751 of the family's 1533-position model. The record is from RNAcentral.